This 911-nucleotide ribosomal RNA is filed under the name Penicillium cosmopolitanum. RNAcentral's name for it is "LSU rRNA". It matches the Rfam family "Eukaryotic large subunit ribosomal RNA", at positions 36 to 965 of the family's 3401-position model. The record is from RNAcentral. Lineage: Eukaryota; Fungi; Ascomycota; Eurotiomycetes; Eurotiales; Aspergillaceae.
UAGCAUAUCAAUAAGCGGAGGAAAAGAAACCAACCGGGAUUGCCCUAGUAACGGCGAGUGAAGCGGCAAGAGCUCAAAUUUGAAAGCUGGCUCCUUCGGGGUCCGCAUUGUAAUUUGCAGAGGAUGCUUCGGGAGCGGUCCCCAUCUAAGUGCCCUGGAACGGGCCGUCAUAGAGGGUGAGAAUCCCGUAUGGGAUGGGGUGCCCGCGCCCGUGUGAAGCUCCUUCGACGAGUCGAGUUGUUUGGGAAUGCAGCUCUAAUUGGGUGGUAAAUUUCAUCUAAAGCUAAAUAUUGGCCGGAGACCGAUAGCGCACAAGUAGAGUGAUCGAAAGAUGAAAAGCACUUUGAAAAGAGAGUUAAACAGCACGUGAAAUUGUUGAAAGGGAAGCGCUUGCGAUCAGACUCGCUCGCGGGGUUCAGCCGGCCUUCGGGCCGGUGUACUUCCCCGCGGGCGGGCCAGCGUCGGUUUGGGCGGCCGGUCAAAGGCCCCUGGAAUGUAACGCCUCUCGGGGCGUCUUAUAGCCAGGGGUGCCAUGCGGCCUGCCCGGACCGAGGAACGCGCUUCGGCUCGGACGCUGGCAUAAUGGUCGUAAGCGACCCGUCUUGAAACACGGACCAAGGAGUCUAACAUCUACGCGAGUGUUCGGGUGUCAAACCCGUGCGCGCAGUGAAAGCGAACGGAGGUGGGAACCCCUCGGGGUGCACCAUCGACCGAUCCUGAUGUCUUCGGAUGGAUUUGAGUAAGAGCGUAGCUGUUGGGACCCGAAAGAUGGUGAACUAUGCCUGAAUAGGGCGAAGCCAGAGGAAACUCUGGUGGAGGCUCGCAGCGGUUCUGACGUGCAAAUCGAUCGUCAAAUUUGGGUAUAGGGGCGAAAGACUAAUCGAACCAUCUAGUAGCUGGUUCCUGCCAAU